This 867-nucleotide long non-coding RNA is filed under the name Marmota monax (woodchuck). The record is from RNAcentral. Lineage: Eukaryota; Metazoa; Chordata; Mammalia; Rodentia; Sciuridae.
AAACCACCAAAUCAAAUCUAUAUAUAUAUAUUUUUUAAAGGCUAUUUUUUUGCUUUUAGUGUUUAUUUUCUGUUACACAUAAUUAGAGUUCACAGAAUUAAUCAUACAAGAGUAGGUGCAGAGGCUCCAUGUUCAUUAGACAAUGCUCAUUGAGGUUUCAAAGUCCAUCUUGAGGGAUGCCCCCAAAGCCUAUUAGCUCUUAUAGCUAUCAAAGAAAAUAGGUUGAGGUGACUAUUUUAUUCCAACAGAUUUUUAACAUUUCAUGACAUACUCUCACUUCCAUGUCAUGCAUAUGCACUUCACAAUUAAUAUUUUCAGAUUCAGAAUAACUAAUAUUAUUGGACCUAUUUUUUAUGUAUUUAUUUUUAAAUUUUUGACUUUUAAAAAUUUGCUCUAAUCAGUUAUAUAUGACAGCAGAAUGCAUUUGGAUUCAUUGUACAUAUAUGGAGCACAACUUUUCACUUCUCUGGUUGUACACCAUGUAGAAUUGCAUAUAUGUGCAGUCUUACAUGAACCUAGUGUAAUGAUGUCCAUCUCAUUCCACCACCUUUCCUGAGAAUCUCCAUACUGUUUUCCAGAGUGGUUGCACCAAUUUGCAGUGCCACCAUCAAUGUAUGAAUGUGCCUUUUCCCCCAAAUCCUCAGCAACACUUAUUAUUGCUGGUAUUCUUGAUAAUUGCCAUUCUGACUGGAGUGAGAUGAAAUCUGAGAGUAGUUUUGAUUUUCAUUUCUCUAAUUACUAGAGAAAUUGAACAUUUUUCUCAUUUAUUUGUUGAUCAAUUGUGUAUCUUCUUCUGAGAAGUGUUAAAAAAGACUUUUUAGAAAAUUUAACUUUUAAUGUAGAGAAAAAUGAUUUCAAUGUCUACAG